Molecule: long non-coding RNA, 39907 nt
Filed under: Populus tremula
Lineage: Eukaryota; Viridiplantae; Streptophyta; Magnoliopsida; Malpighiales; Salicaceae
Description: long non-coding RNA (PTRE_LNC002892)
Source: RNAcentral
GACCACUAAACUUGUUGUUGGCCAAAGUGAGAUAAAGGACAGGUGUGGAACCGAGAUUACCAGGAAGCCGUUGUGAGAAUUUGUUGUUGUUGAUGAAAAGCACAUCUAGGUCUAAGGUGAAGACUUUAGCUGGAACUGACCCUGAAAAUGAGUUGAACCUGAUGUCUAAAAAGGUUAAGUUGAUGGCUUGGAGAACAGACACAGGGAAUUCACCAGAGUACUUGUUGUUGCUGAGAUCGAGCUCAAAUAAGUAACGGACUCUGGAAGUGCUAAUAUUCAUUGGCACAGGACCAGUGAAAUUGUUGGAGUUCGCAUGAAAGAUGGAUAAGUCCAGCAACUUAUCGAGGAAACCUGUGAGCUGAAGAUCCGGGCCACCAAAAUGGUAGCCGUUGAAAUCUGCCGCUGCAAGGGCUGUCACCUUCUGGUCAGGUACAGUUGCACAUUUAAAGCCUGGAUAACUACAGACAUCAUUUCCCACCCAUUUUUUUUUAAUGUUCAUGGGAUCAUAAGUAAUCAAUUCCUUGAAUGUCUGAAUUAUGUGAAAGUCUCUUUCGAUGUUUUUGCUCACAAAACCAUUACUUGGCGGCGGAGGCCGAGGAGAAGGAGGAGGCGGAGGGGAUGGCCUUGGAGGAGGGGGCGGCGAGGGCGGGGGUGGCGGAGAGGGGGGAGGGGGCGGCGGAGGGGGAAAACGUUUGGGAGGUGGCGGCGAGGGCGGGGUGGCGGCGGGGGGAGAGGGCGGGGGGGGGAGAGGGGGAGGGGGCGGCGAGGGGGAGGGGGCGGAGGGGGCGGCGGGGUGGAGGUGGGGGAGGGGCGGCGAGGGCGGAGGGGGGGAGAGGGGGAGGGGGAGGCGGGGGACAAAGGGGUUCGGGAGGGGCGGGGGAGGACAAAUUUCAUUCUCAGGAGAAGGGGCAGGAGAAUAUCCAUCCCCACCCCCACCUAUGAUUAUUUCUAAAGCUUCCCUCUCUGUCCCAACAGCCGCAUUGUAAUGCAAGCAUGAAUGAAAAAUGAGAGUGAAAAGUAGAAUUGAAGAACACAAAGAAGCGGUACCCAUCUAUACUGGCUGAAGGGUCUCUGGACUUGAGAGAGUAAAGAGAACAGGGACAUAUAUAUAUUACUAUGAAGAGGGUAGAGGUAGACCAUAAGUAAAGGAAGUCAAGAUUCACGAGCAUACAAAAGUUUGCAAAAGAAAAGUUGUCUUAGGGUGGGACUGUUGGGAUCUCAUUUUCAGACACUCCAUCCCUGCGAAUCAAACCUUUCUUUUGGGACAUGGUGGCAGCUAUUCUAUAGUAACAUGGUUCGAAGUGUCUUUAUAGUGCGCCAUCCCUCGUGGGACAUGAAUAUCACGGAAAGAGCGGAAAAUAAAAGGAAAUCAUCUGAAUUUCCAAGGACUUCAGUAAGAAAUUCUUGGUUUUAUUUGCUGCUGAGGAUGAAGGUGUAGGGACAUUAAAUUAAACUUUUAACUCAAUAAUUGGAUCUUGACAUUAGUGGGGACAACAUCUUCUUCAGUUAUUGGACUUCAUCUGUCAUGUAUGAGAGUUUUAUCUUGUGACUAUUCUUGAUAAAUUUGACUUUUCUUCACUUGUUUUCGACCAUAGGUUCUUAAGAUACUCGUCGGAAUAUAGAUAGCCUGUCGAAUUGUGCGCUCUAAUGAAAGAUCUUGAGCUAAGGAUACCAUUUGCACAUGGGUUCAAUGGACAGCCACCACCCGCAACCACCAACACGUCAAACAUCACAAAACCUGUGAAUUUUAAAAAGUUGCCCCAUUGAUGUAACAUAAAUUUAGGAUGUGAAGUUCGAUGGAUCAUCGGUGUGUCUCUUACCCUGCUUCUCAAUUGUUGAGAUUCGUCUCAUUGCAUUUUUAAACUCUUCAAUCAUAGAGCUGAGAAUGAACUUGAAAAAAGCAAAUGAAUGCUUCCCUUCUGUUUCCUACUCGGUAUCUUUCAUUUUGGCGCUUGACAUCCCCCCCUUCUCACAAUCAGAAUCUUUGCAUGCUUCCCUUGUGUUUCCUACUCGAGAAUAAGAAAGAAUAUGGAAUGGCAUAUUGAUGAUUAAUAUUCUCUCAAGAAGAUACCGUCCUCGAUCUAAACUUAAACAAGCGAAAGAAAACAGCGUAAGAAUUUCAGGGAAAGAUGUCUUAAAACAAAAGCGAAAAAAGUGACUGUAUAAUAUGAAGUUAGCAGCCAUACAAUGAUCAAAAACCAUUCAACUGGGCCAGUUGUCAGCGGCUGAGGUGCACUAGAAUUUGAUCCUAAAUUCAGAUCCUUGAGAAAAAACAAUGCAAUGUUCAUGAUUCUGUGCUCAAACAAGCCUUUGAUUGAACAACAACAAGGGCCUUCGCUGUUCAGAGAACCAUCUCAAUUGUGUACAGUGCCAAGUGAAUCCGAACCCAUAUACACAUGCAGAGGGCAGACAUUAUUUUCUCCACACUACCGGUUCAAAUUAACCUCAAGUCCACCAAGAUAUGGAUUCUAACAAUCCCCGGUUCUUAAAGGCCCAAAAUUUAUUCGAAACUUACCUACUCAUUUCGUGGAGCUCUACACAUUCUAAAUUUUUCUAAGCACGUGAAUUUCUGAUUUCAAAGGUCCAACAAACGUCAAUGGAGCCUUACCAGACAAUCAUGCAAUAGGAGAACCUGUACAAUUUCCUAGUCUUAGGAAACAUAAAGUCGGAUGCAAAACAGCACACGUUACCCUUUCCCGAGUUAAUAGCCCGAUCAACCAGAACCACGACAAUCUUAACACGCUUGUUCACCACAAAUCCAAAUGGACCGACGUCUGCUCACACAUAAACUAGUCAACCAAGAAAAAGGAAAAUUAGUGGACAUGAGAGUUAAACUUGAAGCAUAUAUUAUGCAGUUUAAGAAAAAAGACAACCAACCUCAAAGAAGACAAGAACAGCACAAGAAAAUUUAGAAUCAAGACUUUUCUUCUGUUACAACAAGUCUUUUAUGAGAUUAAAAAAAUCAGAGAAGGCAAUAAUUCAUGAAAAAAAGAGCAAACUAGAAUAUAAUACACUCAGUUUCAAUGACUUUUCUAUAUUUUCUUGCUACAGUGAUUUGGGGAAGGGUGGGUGGGUGCGGGUUUUCUCACAUGCUUUGAUGCCAAGUUUGAUUGCCAAAUAGUCUCAAUCAGAGAAAAUCAAGUCUUCAUCAUGUUUUCAGUAACUGUGCCCCAGUUUUCUACGAGAAUUUGUAUAUAUUUAAACGAAAGAGAGCAUGUUUCAUAAAAGCAACCUUUUUACAUAUUUUAAGUUUGACAUGUUUACCAGGAACAUGCUUGGAAACCAGGUCAUUUUUCUCUGUUUUAUUUCAUAGGGUACAUUAUAUACAAUCUCAAACCACAGCCUAGACAAGGAGAGCAAGAACAAGAAUUUUCCCAGGAAAAAUAAACCCAAAACCUAUUAACCAACUGACAAAUUAUUGUUCUAUUUAUUUGUGCAUCCCGACUUUCCAACCAUCAUCAGAUCACUAAUCAUCAACCGGAAAUCUGUCUUACCAGACCACAUGGAUUCAAUGCCAUACCAGCUUCAUAUACUAUUUUUCCCAUAUAUGGCUCAUGGCCACAUGAUCCCGACAGUAGACAUGGCAAGAUUAUUGGCUAGGCAUGGAGUGAAAGCAACCAUUGUUUCCACUCCUCUUAAUGCACCCCUCUGCUCUAAAACUAUUGAAAGAGAUAGACAACUGGGUCUUGAUAUCAGUAUUCACAUUAUAAAAUUCCCUUCUGCAGAAGCUGGGCUGCCAGAAGGAUGUGAGAACCUAAGUUCUAUUCCCUCGCCUGACAUGCUUCCGAAUUUCUUAAAGGCCAUCGGCAUGCUUCAGCAACCACUUGAACAGCUCCUAGAAGAAUGCCAUCCCAGUUGUCUUGUGGCAGACAUGUUGUUUCCAUGGGCUACAGAAGCUGCACACAAGCUCAGGAUUCCAAGGUUGUUUUUCAAUGGAACAGGUUUUUUUCCUGUGUUCUUCGAUUCCCUAAAACGCUAUGAAACUCCCAAAGGAGUAGAUUCAGAUUUCGAACCAUUCGUGGUGCCUGGUUUACCAGAUCAGAUAGCUGACAAGAUUACGACUGCCGGCUUUCAUUAAAGAGAGAACUGAGAAUGAACUUACAAAGCUGAUGGAUAAAGUCUCAGAAUCAAUGGUGAGAAGCUAUGGAGUCCUCACGAACAGUUUCCUUGAGCUGGAACCAGCUUAUUCAGAGCACUACAAGAUGGAAAUAAAAAGGAAAACAUGGCACAUCGGGCCGCUGUCCCUUUGCAACAGGGACAUGAAAGAUAAGGCAGAGAGAGGCAACGUGUCCUCCUUUGAUGAACAUUAAUGUAUGAGAUGGCUGGCCAAAAAGAGCCUCAACUCAGUUCUAUAUAUAUGUUUUGGAAGCUUCUUCAACCUUUCCGCUGCUCAUUUACUUGAGAUUGCCAUGGCCCUGGAAGCUUCUGGACAGAAUUUCAUUCGGGUUGUGAGAGAGAGAAAGCAAACAAAGCUUGCAGAAAAGGAGGAGUGGUUGCCAGAAGGAUUUGAGAAAAGGAUGGAAGGGAAGGGCUUAAUAGUAUCGGGAUGGGCACCGCAAGUGGUGAUCCUUGAUCAUAAAGCUGUUGGAGGGUUCAUGACUCACUGUGGUUGGAACUCAACAUUGGAGGGAGUGACUGCAGGGGUGCCGAUGGUCACAUGGCCACUUGGUGCGGAACAAUUUUGCAAUAAAAAGCUGAUUACCGAUGUUCUCAAAAUAGGAAUUGGAGUUGGUGCCCAGGAAUGGUCAAGAUAUGAAAAGAAAAUUAUAGUGAGGAAGGAGGACAUAGAGAAGGCAAUUAUUCAGUUGAUGGUUGGUGAAGAAGCUGAGGAAAUAAGAAACAGAGCAAGGGUACUGAAAGAGAUGGCAAGGAGGGCUACGAAAGAAGGAGGAUCAUCUUACUCUGAUUUAACUGCAUUUCUUGAAGAAUUAUAGGCCCUUGAGACAAGCAAGCAAGAACGUGCACCACAUUAACAAGACUGUCUUGUUGCAUCAUUCUGAAAACUAGAAGAGUGUGAAGAAAAAGGAAAAAAAAAGGUAUCCCGUAGAAUGCUAAAUGUUGCUUCUCAGAUAUUUAGUUUUUCAACAAAAUAAAAGAAAGAGCGUUCUACAUGAAUUUUGCAUCCAUACAACAGUCAUACAUAUCCGUGGUUUCAAUGACAUGAUAGCUUUAUUGAUGACUCCAAUGGAUACAAAGUCUAAAAGUCUAAACAAACUACUUGAUUUGAAAUGUGCUAGCUUGUUUUCUGUUCAAAACGAAAACCAUACACUUUGAUUCCAUUCUAACAUUAAUUCAUGAAAUCUCUUAAAGGGUUAUGGCUCUAAACCCAGUUGAUCGUAAAUCACAGCUGGACUUGUCUACUUAAGGAGGAAGUCCUAUGGGAAUCUCUGAAAAUGUUAAACAUGAUAAAGCUAGCAGAAGCACUCACCUUAACCAGCUAAUUAAAGAUCCUGGCUGACCACAAGCUGCAACUCGGGAAGUACUCAUCCAAGUAUGAUGAAAACUUGGAUAUAUAAUCUUUACGCAUACAUAAUUAAAGAAAACCCGAAGAAUUUUAUUUUAUUUUAUUAGAAAAUAACUCGCAGCACAAGUUUCCAACACCUCAGUCCGUGAAUAACAAGAUUUGCAAGCAAAGAAUAAGGAGUUUUAAUAAAGGAUAGAAGUUCUCCAAAGUAGAUAUCAUCCUCGAUCUAGAAUGCAAGAAGCAAAGAAGAACGGCGUAGGAAUGCCAGAAAUGAUGAAAGGAGGGGACCCUUAUUGAAGGUUUCAACCAUAUAAUGAUCAUGAGCCACUGGACUGGGCCAGCGGUGAGGAUUGGGGUGAACUCGAAUAUGAUCCAAAGUUCAAAUUCUAAGAGAAAAAACCAUACAAUGACAGUAGAUUAAGCGGGCAAAAGGAUUUAAUCGAGCAAAAUUUUGAUUGAACAAUAAAAAGGUUAAGGGCAUCGGAUCUUCAGACAAUCAGCCCAGUUGACAGUAGUGCUAAGUAGGUCUGAACCCAAAUACACAAUUCAGCAGCUAGACAUUAGUUUCUUGAAACUGGUGGUUCAAGUUGACUUGAAAUUCAUGCUAAAAAAUAAGGAUUCCACCCCAACUUCGGUACAAACAUAAAAAGCCCAAAUUUUCACCGAACUUCUAUAAGCUGAGAAUUUCAGAAGUGAAAGGUCCAACGUUGGACCUUCAGCAAUUGAAACCGAGAACCCACAAUCAUAAGAAAGGAAAGAUUAUAAUUUUCGUUGUCCGGCCACAAAGUUAGAUACAAAACAGCACACAUGACCCAUCUAAGAACCCCUUCGGUCAUGACCAUGACAAUGCAACCUAAAAAAUCUUAUUUCACUUUAAAGCACAAAUCCAAAUGCACCAACAUGAGUUCAUAUAUAAAAGUUGUCAACCAAGUAAAAAAAAUUGAACAUGAAGUCAGACUUGAAACAUAAACAAUGCAGUAUAAGAAGACUGGCGACCAAGACAACCCCAAAGAAAAAAUAAGAUCAAUAAGAAAAUUUCAGUUUUAAAAAAUAAAAAUAGAGAUCAAUAAGAAAUUUCACAGACGAGUUCUACUGGGAUGUCAGAAGGAAAUAAAGAAUAAAUUCAUGGAAAAAGAGAGAGAGAGAGCAUAUUGCGACAUGAUAUACUGUGAUUGUCAGCAAUUGGAUGCCUCGUGGGCACAAAGAAAAUUUAGUCUUUAAAUUGUUUCUUUAAUAGGAGGGGUUAGCAACUCUAACCCAGUUUUCUUAGAGAAACUGCUAAAUGUGUAAAUAAAAGAAAUCAUUUUUCAUGAAACAAUCAUUUUAUAUAUUUUAUGUUUCAUAAAGGUUAGCAGGACACAACAAUAUGCUUGGAAACCAAGUCAUCUUUGUCUAUUUCUCUUCUUAAGGUCCAAUACAUAUCUGAACUCAUAAACAAGAUGAUGAGGGGAAAGCAAGAAUUGGAAUAUGAUAUGGGAAAAUAAUGCCCGAACCUAGUCUCUGCAGCCAUCCCAAAUCAGCGGAUAAAUCAUUGUUCUAUUUCUAGCCUUUUGUUCUGUCACGACCCGAAUCCCAGAUCCGUGACCGGCAACGUAGGAGCGGUGUCGAAAGGACACCUCACCUACGCUAAGCCUCAUAACGGACAUAUCAAAAGAACAAUUUGUUCAAAAAUACGCAGCGGCUCAUAAUAUUCAGAAAUAUUAUAUUAUUCAAAUACUGAUGAAACCGAAAGAUAGUUAUUAAAACAAAAAUAAUAAUUCAUAAUACUAUUUACAUUGCCAAAAUCCAAACUUAAUUAAAACAAGGUAACAGUGGAGCGUCUAAGACAUCAAAUCAAAACUGAAAGGAAAGCCUCGCGAACAAGCUAUUAAGGAAGAUUCCAUCAAACCUGCAGAUGCAUGAAAUCUGCAAGUGAUUUCAGUAACAGCAUGGAGGAAAUCUGUUAAUGAUCCACAGCAAUAACCAAGCCUCAAAUCAUGCUGUGAAUUAAUACAAAUAUUAUGUCCAUAACUAUUUUGAUUACUGCAAUCUUUCCUUUACAAGAAUAUUCAUUACUGUAAUCUUUCCUUUACAAGAACAUGUAACCGCAGUAUAUAAUCAUAGGCUGAACAUCAAUACAAUUAUGUUGAGAAUUACACCGUAAAGUUCUGAGCACUUAAAAUCUCUUUAUGGUAUCAGAGCAAUUCCUCUCUAACGAGAAUUUGAUCCCCAUGUCUUCCACAAAUCAGUCUAUCUCCUCCCCUGAACUUUCCCUUGUUGUUUUCAACAUCAAUACUCAAAUCAAUGAGAAACUCACACCCUCAUCCUUCCCUCAAUGGCGAGCACAGUUUGAGGCUUUUAAUCGGCUAUGAUCUCCUGGACUACGUCAAUGGAGAAUCUCAGUGCCCUGUCUCAGAUGGCACUCCACAGUCUACAACAACAAAAAACCGAUGGGUAAGGCAAGACAAACUGAUUCUCAGUGCCAUUCUUGCAUCCACUUCACCCUCCAUCACGCCUCUCAUUGCCACCACCAAAACCUCACACGAGGCAUGGAAAAAACUAUCAACACUGUAUGCGAGCAAAUCGCGUACAAGGGCAAUGCAACUCAAGGAAGAACUAACCUUGAUUCAGCGUGGAAAUCGACCAAUUUCAGAGUAUCUUCACACGGUCAAAAGUUUGGCCGAUGAAAUUACACUUAUUGAUCACCCCAUCUCCGAUGAUGACUUAACCCUCUAUGUUCUCCAUGGGUUAGGUCCAGAAUUUCGUGAGAUUGCUGCUCCUAUUCGAGCACGAGAAAAAUCCCUUGCCUUCGAAGAACUUCAUGAUAUGCUUGUUGGGCAUGAGAGUUACCUGAGAAGGAUGGAAGCUGCUACACAGCAGCUCGUGGCUGCUGCAAACUUUACCGGCCACCGCUUUGCCAACAAGGAGACCGUCUCCUCUGUAUCGCAGCAAAACAGAGGAGGAAAUAAAGGAAAUGGUUUCUUUCGCCAACCAGGACACAACCGUCCCUCAAAUGGUUCAUUCAGAGACCGCCAGCGCAACAAUAAUAAUUCGGGCCGCUCCAAUCCAAACCGACGCUUCCAGCCAAAGUGCCAAUAUUGUGAUCAAUUGGGUCAUACAGCCAAGAUCUGCCCGAAACUUCAAUCCUCUCCCAUGACUGUUAAUUGUGCUGAAUCCUCAGAUACUCAAGAUAAUAAAUGGUUAAUUGACUCUGCAGCCUCUCACAACAUUACGGGUGAUCUUCAAAACUUAUCAAUUCACUCUGAAUAUGACGGCACUGAUGAGGUCCUUCUUGGUGACGGUACAGGUUUGGCAGUAACACAUAUUGGUUCCUUAGCUUUACCCACACCUACAAAAACUUUUCAUUUACAUGAUACUUUAUGUGUUCCUCAUAUUCACAAGAAUCUCAUUUCAGUUCAUCACUUCACCAAACAUAAUAAUGUUUUUCUUGAACUUCAUCUCUUUUUUUUCUUGUGAAGGACAAAAUCACGGGGGCAAUACUUCUAAGAGGUGCGUGUGAGAAUGGCGUAUACGUGUUUCCAAACUCCUUGAUGGCUUCUCCCACUCCAAAAAAAGUUGCUUAUGUGCAUGAACGGACUUCACUUGAUGGGUGGCACAAACGUCUUGGACACCCUUCAAUCAAACUUGUUCAACAUCUUGUCAAUCAAUUAUCCCUUCCUGUUUCCACAAAAAAAAAUUCAUCUUUAUGUACUUCUUGUUCCACAAAUAAAGCGCAUAAACAACCUUUUGGCUCUACAAGUUUUCAAAGUCACUCUCCACUUGACAUUAUAUACACUGAUGUUUGGGGUCCUGCUCACAUUACUGGGAUUUGUGGUGCACGGUAUUAUCUUCUUUUUGUGGACCAUUAUACCAAAUAUAUGUGGUUUUAUCCAAUGUCUGCAAAAUCUCAGGUAUCCAGUAUUUUUCCCCAAUUCAAAAAACUGGUGGAAAAACGCUUUCAGUCCACCAUCAAAGCCUUGUACUCCGAUAAUGGUGGUGAAUUUCUAAAGUUGAAAACUUACUUGUCCAAUCAUGGUAUAAGUCAUUACACUACUGCUCCCCACACUCCCCAACAAAAUGGUGUUGUUGAAAGACGUCAUCGUCAUCUUGUCGAAACAGGUCUUACCCUGCUUCAUGAUGCCUCAUUAUCUCUUUCUUAUUGGCCUCAUGCAUUUCAAACUGCUGCUUAUCUCAUAAAUCGCCAACCAACUCCUCUCCUUCAAAAUAAAUCCCCAUUUGAAGUGCUUUUUUGUCAACAACCAAAUUAUCUUAAAUUAAGGAAAUUUGGAUGUUUAUGCUACCCUCUCACUAAACCGUAUAACACCCAUAAAUUGCAGCCUAAGUCCACUCCCUGUAUCUUUAUAGGAUACUCACAAACUCAGAAUGCCUACAAAUGCCUAACCUUAAUAAUCAAUUUACCAUUCAAACAAAACCAUAACUCAAAAUCAUCAUAAUCUUCCAUAAUCAACUUAAUAAUCAAUUACCCACAACAAUCAACCCCUAACCUUCAAUUUAAUUCAUCAAUUUAAACCAAAACACAAAUUCUCAAAACCCUAACAUUCAUCAAAAUUGAAAUUUAAACUUCAAUAACACAUAUAUAUACAUAAUCUUACCUUUUUACUUAUUUCCUCCAAAUCUCUUUAUUUUCCCCUUAUUUUUCCUUCUUUUCUCUUCUUCUUCCUCCCUCUUCUCUCUCACGGUUUUGCUCUCUAAUUUUGCAGGUCUCUUCUUGUUUUUUUUUUAUAUUAUUAUUUAUUCUAUUUAUAUAUAUAUCAACUAUUUAUCCAAUUACUACUAUACCCCUCAUUUAAUUUAUUCCUACAUCUAAGCCUUCAAGGGCUUUCUAGGCUUUUCCUAUCCCUUUAAUACAAAACAUCACAGCCAUGGCCCUGGAAGCUUCUGGACAGAAUUUCAUUUGGGUUGUGAGGAGAGAAAGCAAACAAAGCUUGCAGAAAAGGAGGAGUGGUUGCCAGAAGGAUUUGAGAAAAGGAUGGAAGGGAAGGGCUUAAUAGUAUCGGGAUGGGCACCCCAGGUGCUGAUCCUUGAUCAUAAAGCUGUUGGAGGGUUCAUGACUCACUGUGGUUGGAACUCAACAUUGGAGGGAGUGACUGCAGGGGUGCCGAUGGUCACAUGGCCACUUGGUGCGGAACAAUUUUGCAAUAAAAAGCUGAUUACCGAUGUUCUCAAAAUAGGAAUUGGAGUUGGUGCCCAGGAAUGGUCAAGAUAUAAAAAGAAAAUUACAGUGAGGAAGGAGGACAUAGAGAAGGCAAUUAUUCAGUUGAUGGUUGGUGAAGAAGCUGAGGAAAUAAGAAACAGAGCAAGGGUACUGAAAGAGAUGGCAAGGAGGGCUACGAAAGAAGGAGGAUCAUCUUACUCUGAUUUAACUGCAUUUCUUGAAGAAUUAUAGGCCCUUGAGACAAGCAAGCAAGAACGUGCACCACAUCAACAAGACUGUCUUGUUGCAUCAUUCUGAAAACUAGAAGAGUCAGAAGAAAAAGGAAAAAAAAAGGUAUCCCGUAGAAUGCUAAAUGUUGCUUCUCAGAUAUUUAGUUUUUCAACAAAAUAAAAGAAAGUGCGUUCUACAUGAAUUUUGCAUCCAUACAACAGUCAUACAUAUCCGUGGUUUCAAUGACAUGAUAGCUUUAUUGAUGACUCCAAUGGAUACAAAGUCUAAAAGUCUAAACAAACUACUUGAUUUGAAAUGUGCUAGCUUGUUUUCUGUUCAAAACGAAAACCAUACACUCGAAUACACUUUGAUUCCUUUCUAACAUUAAUUCAUGAAAUCUCUUAAAGGGUUAUGGCUCUAAACCCAGUUGAUCGUAAAUCACAGCUGGACUUGUCUACUUAAGGAGGAAGUCCUAUGGGAAUCUCUGAAAAUGUUAAACAUGAUAAAGCUAGCAGAAGUACUCACCUUAACCAGCUAAUUAAAGAUCCUGGCUGACCACAAGCUGCAACUCGGGAAGUACUCAUCCAAGUAUGAUGAAAACUUGGAUAUAUAAUCUUUACGCAUACAUAAUUAAGAAAACCCGAAGAAUUUUAUUUUAUUUUAUUAGAAAAUAACUCGCAGCACAAGUUUCCAACACCUCAGUCCAUGAAUAACAAGAUUUGCAAGCAAAGAAAAAGGAAUUUUAAUAAAGGAUAGAAGUUCUCCAAAGUAGAUAUCAUCCUCGAUCUAGAAUGCAAGAAGCAAAGAAGAACGGCGUAGGAAUGCCAGAAAUGAUGAAAGGGGGGGAACCUUAUUGAAGGUUUCAACCAUAUAAAGAUCAUGAGCCACUGGACUGGGCCAGCGGUGAGGAUUGGGGUGAACUCGAAUAUGAUCCAAAGUUCAAAUUCUUAAGAGAAAUAACCAUACAAUGGCAGUAGAUUAAGCGGGCAAAAGGAUUUAAUCGAGCAAAAUUUUGAUUGAACAAUAAAAAGGUUAAGGGCAUCAGUGCUAAGUAGGUCUGAACCCAAAUACACAAUUUACCGGCUAGACAUUAGUUUCUUGAAACUGGUGGUUCAAGUUGACUUGAAAUUCAUGCUAAAAAAUAAGGAUCCCACCCCAACUUCGGUACAAACAUAAAAAGCCAAAAUUUUCACCGAACUUCUAUAAGCUGAGAAUUUCAGAAGUGAAAGGUCCAACGUUGGACCUUCAGCAAUUGAAAACGAGAACCCGCAAUCAUAAGAAAAGAUUAUAAUUUUCGUUGUCCGGCCACGAAGUUAGAUACAAAACAGCACACAUUUCCCAACCUAUCUAAGAACCCCUUCGGUCAUGACCGUGACAAUGCAACCUAAGAAAUCUUACAAAUCCAAAUGCACCAACAUGAGCUCAUAUAUAAAAGUUGUCAACCAAGUAAAAAACAUUGGACAUGAAGCCAGACUUGAAACAUAAACAAUGCAGUAUAAGAAGACUAGCCAAAUAGGACAACCCCAAAGAGAAGACAAGAUCAAUAAUAAAAUUUCAGUUUAAAAAAAUAAAAACAGAGAUCAAUAAAAAAAUUCACAGACGAGACCACUCUUGUUUUUCAACUAGAAUGUCAGAAGGAAAUAAAGAAUAAAUUCAUGGAAAAAAAGAGAGAAAGCAUAUUGCGACAUGAUAUACUGUGAUUGUCAGCAAUUGGAUGCCUCAUGGGCACAGAGAAAAUUUAGUCUUUUAAAUUGUUUUUUUAAUAUGAGGGGUCAGCAACUCUAACUCAGUUUUCUUAGAGAAACUGCUAAUUGUGUAAAUAAAAGAAAUCAUUUUUCAUGAAACAAUCAUUUUAUAUAUUUUAUGUUUCACAAAGGUUAGCAGGACACAACAAUAUGCUUGGAAACCAAGUCAUCUUUGUCUAUUUCUCUUCUUAAGGUCCAAUACAUAUCUGAACUCAUAAACAAGAUGAUGAGGGGAAAGCAAGAAUUGGAAUAUGAUAUGGGAAAAUAAUGCCCGAACCUAGUCUCUGCAGCCAUCCCAAAUCAGCAGAUAAAUCAUUGUUCUAUUUCUAGCCUUUUGUUCAUCCCAAAUUUCCAACCAUCAUCGGACCGCUUAAUCCUCUGCUCUAAAUCUAUACCUGUUCUACCAGGCCACACAGAUUCACAGCCAUAUCAGCUUUUCAUGUCCUAUUUCUCCCAUAUAUGGCUCAUGGCCACAUGAUCCCAACCGUUGACAUGACAAAGAUUAGUUACUAGGAAUGGGGUUAAAGCAACCGUUGUUUCCACUCCCCUUAAUGGACCCCUCUUAUCUAAAACAAUAGAAAGAGACAAGAAACUGGAUCUUGAUAUCAGCACUCACAUAAUAAAAUUUCCUUCUGCUGAGGCAGGGCUACCUGAAGGGUGUGAGAACCUAAGUUCUAAUAAUUCGUGGAACAUGAAUUCGGAUCUCUUAAAGGCCUUAAGCAUGCUUCAACACCACUUUAACAGAUCCUUGAAGAAUGCCACCCAAAUUGUCUCGUGGCAAACAUGAUGUUUCUGUGGGCUACAGGAGUUGUUGACAAGGUCGGGAUUCCAAGGUUGAAUUUCAAUGAAACGAGUUUUUUUUGUAUGUUUUUCUUUGAUUCCCAAAAACGAUGUGAUCCCCACAAAAGAGUGGUUUCAGUCUAUCAGAUUUUGAACCUUCUAUAGUGCCUGAAUUACCAGACCAGAUAAAGAAGACAAGACUGCAAAUGCAACUGCCAGAUUACUUAAAACAGACAACUGAGAAUGGACUUACAAGCUAAAUCAGAUUUCAGAAUCAGAAGUGAGAAGCUAUGGAGUCCUCAUGAAUAGUUUCCACGAGCUGGAACCAGCUUACUCAGAACACUGCAGGAAGGCAAGGCACAUCAGCUGCUGUCACUUUGCAACAGGAACAUUGAAGAUAAAGCAGAAAGAGAACAUAUAGCAUCCAUUGGUGAACAUGAAUGUUUGAGAUGACUCGCCUUGAAGAAACCCAACUCAGUUCUAUAUAUUUGUUUUGAAAGCUUGUUUGACUUCCAGCUACUCAAUCGUGUGGGAUUGCCUUAGCUCUUGAAGCUUUUUUUCCAGAAUUUCAUUUGGGUUGUAAGAAAGGGAGAGGUGAGAAAGCAUGAAGACAUGGAGGAGUGGUUGCUGGAAGGAUUUGAGAGAAGGAUGGAUGCGAAAGGAUAAAUGAUAAGGGGAUGGGAACCACAGGUGCUAAUCCUCGACCAUGAAGCUGUUGGAGGAUUCUUGACUCAUUGUUGAUGGAACUCAACGUUAAGAGGGAGUGACUGCAGGGGUGCCAAUGGUCACAUGGCCACUUUAUGCAGAGCAGUUUGAUAAUGAAAAGCUGAUUGCAUAUGUUCUAAGAAUGGGAAUUGGAGUUGGUGCCCAGGAAUGGUCAAGAUAUGAAAAGAAAAUUCUAGUGAGGAGGGCCGACAUACAGAAGGCAAUUAUUCAGCUGAUGGUUGACGAAGAACAAAUAAGAAAUAGAGCAAGGAAGUUGAAAGAGAUGGAAAGGAAGGAAACGGAAGAAGGAGGAUCGUCUUUCUCUGAUUUAACUGCAUUGCUAGAUGAAUUAAUGGCCCUUGAGACAAGCAAGCAAGAAUAUGCAGCACAUUAACAUGACUGUCUUGUUAUAGUUUCCUAUUAGAAUGUUCAGAAAAUAAGUAAUGUUGUUAGCAUUUAUUAUUCUGAAAACUAGAAUAGCCAGCAAAAGAAUAAUGACUACCGUAGAAAUACUAAAUGUUGCUCGUCAUUAUUCAGGUUUUCACAGAAAUAAAAGAAAGGGCAUUUUACAUGAAUUUUGCAUCCAUUCACCAGUCACAGAUAUCCGAUGACUGUGCCUAGAAGAAAAUACAUGGUAGUUAGUAGUAAUUACUUUUUAAGAUUUUUUUAUUUAAAAUAUAUUAAAAUAAUAUAUUAUUUAUUUUUCAAACUUAUUUUUUUUACAUAAGCAAAUGAUAUGAAAAUUAUAAAAAAAUUAUUUAUUUAUUUUUGAAAACACUUUUAAAAUGUAAAAAUCUAAUCUUCAUCUAAAAAAAUAUUUUUUUAAAUAAAAAAUAUUUUUUAAAAAACAUAAUAUACUAUAUGUAAUAUUUUGGUUGGAAAAUACAAUAAAGCCCUUGGAGGCUUAAAGAGAGGGUAAAUGAUUGAAGGGUAUUGUGGUAAUUGACCAAUAGUUGAUAAAUAUAUAUAAGAAAAAAAAAGAAAGAAUGAUCUGAUUUUGAGAGAAAGAGAGUUACGGGAGAAGAGAAGAAAAGAGGAAGAAGAAGAAAAGACAGGAGAGAAGGAAAGAAAGGAGAAAAGAAGUAGAGGAAAUAAGUAAAAAGGUAAGAUUUAUGGUUUUAAGUGUAUAAUAUGUUAAAUUUCGGUUUUGAUUAAUUUUGAGAGUUUUGAAGUUUGUAUUUUGAGUUAAUUGAUGAAUUAAUUUGAAGGUUAGGAGUUGAUUAUUGUGGGUAUUUGAUUAAUUAGUUGAUUUUGAGAGAUUGAAUUGAAAGAUAAUGAUUUUGAGUUAUGAUUUUAUUUAAAUGGUGAAAUUAUGUUAGAAAUCAGGGGAUAACAGUAGGUGAUAUGUUGAAAUUCUGGGUUUGAGGUUGAAGAUGACGAAAAUUCAAUUUGGUCCCUCAAUUUGUGAAAAUUGCAAUUUAGUCCCCGAACUUUGGAAAUUUUACAGAUUGGUCCCUGGGGCAUAAAUUGAGGUUCUGAACAGAACUGAGGAUGAUUUAAGGACAAAAUUCCAGUAUAAUUAAUAUUUUCAGUUUGGUCCUCCAAUUUGACAAAAAAUAUAAUUUGACCCUAAAAAUUUGGUAAAGUUCAAGAAUGGUCCUUGGAGCAUAAUGAUAUAUCCUGGACAGAAUUAAGGAUUAAUUAUGGACAGAAUUUCAGUAUGGUUAUAUAUUUACAGUUCGAUCCUCAAAAUUUGGUAAAAUUACGUUUUGGUCCCUAUUUUGGAAAAUUGUCAUUUUAGUCCCUAAACUUGGGAGAUUAAGCCCAGUUUAUUUUAUGCUUUGGGAUCUUUUGUUUGAUUUGUUUUUUAGUAUAUUUCAUAUAUUUAUUGUAGGUUCUCUUAACGAUUCUUAAUCGGAUUUUCGGGUCUUUCGUCCGACAUUCCUUUUAGUUCUAUAUUUUCCGGGUGAGUGGAAUAAUCUUUAAUGUGCAUAUAAUAUAAAUAAAUAUGUAUAUUGAUUAUACAAUGAGUACAACUAGUAAAUUUCUUGAAUAUUUACGUAUGUUGCUUUAUUUUCCGAGUACUCAUUUAUUUUUGAAUUUGCACUCGCAAUCUGUUAAAGUAAAUUCUAUUUGAUAUGAUAUACAUUUCUUUGAUGAUUAUGUGAAUAUCUGUUAUGCCUUGAUAUGGGACUUGUCAGUACUCCAUGCUAACGGAGAAUAGUUAGCUUGUGUGCACAUAGUAUUCUGUUACCUAGCUGGUGAGAGAGGCAUCAGCCUGUGGUGAUUGAUCAUCCCACAGUGGUCACCGACGGGUGUCAUCUGGUCACCGACGGGUGUCAUCUGGUCACCUUCGGGUGUCAUCUGAUCUCUGACAUGUAAUCCACUACGUUAUGAUAAUAUGUUACGUUAUGAUAAUAUGUUUAGUAAGUAUAUGUAUAUGUAUAUCAAGAUAUUAAUAUCUGAAAUGUAUAUUAAAUGUUAUUCCCUCACUGAGUUGGUUGAACUCACCUCUCAUUUUUAAUAUUAUUUCAGGUUCUUAGUUUCUGGGACUUUGUUGAGUGUUUCCGCUUCUUCAGUUCUGGUCGGUAUGCCUUGCUUGUUCGCGAGGCUUUCCUUUCAGUUUUGAUUUGAUGUCUUAGACGCUCCACUGUUACCUUGGAUUAAUUAAAUUUGGAUUUUGACAAUGUAAUGAGUAUUAUGAAUUAUUAUUUUUGUUUUAAUAACUAUCUUUCGGUUUAUCAGUAUUUGAAUAAUAUAAUAUUUUUGAAUAUUAUAAGCCGCUGCGUAUUUUUGAACAAAUUGUUCUUUUGAUAUGUCCGUUCUGAGGCUUAGCGCAGGUGAGGUGUCCUUUCGACACCUCUCCUACGUUGCCGGUCACGGAUCCGGGAUUCGGGUCGUGACACUAUACUACUAAAUACACUGUAUGAAUAAAUAUCUAUUUUCCAGAUAUAAAAAACCCACUCUAGAAGGAAACAUGAGCCCGGCGCUCUUCCCCAACAUGGCCAGCACAACUUAAUACAUCUCAUAUUAUAUGUGAUUUAUUGAGUGUUUGGUAUACUUUCAACAUGUUUUUAGAAAAAAAUUAAUUUUUCUUCUUUAAAUCAAUCUUUCAAUAUUUUUAAAUGAUUUUAAUAUACUAAAAUAAAAAAUAUAUUUUUAAAAAAAUAAAAUUAAUACAAUUUUUUAGUAAAAAAAAAAAACUUUAAAAAACAACCACUAUCAUAUCCUCAAAAACCCCUUUAAUCUAACUUAUUAUUAAUUGCUAAAUAAGUAAAAGAUCACAACUCUUAUUUUAAUCUCAAAAUAUUGCUUUAUAAGUUUAAUAAUAUCCCGGUCAUCCCUAUAAUUUAUCCUUUUGAUAAUGAAUAAUGUUAAAAAAAAUAAAAAUAAACUCUAAUAUGAACUCUGGUCAUCAAAUAACCAGUUAGAUUUAUAGUGAUUUUUUUAAAAUUUAAUCACCAUGGCAAUUAAAUUUCUAUAAUCUGAAUUAUUAAAUUUAAAACACCACUUGUUGGAUUUUUUUUGGGAUGAAACCAUUUUUUUACAUGUGGUGGAAUAUUUAAUUAAUUUGUUUUUUCAUUUGAGUUACUUUACAGGUCAAGUUGAAUCUCUCCACUUCUCUUCUUAAAUUAAUUUGUAUUUUAUAUUAAUUACAAACAAAUUUAAUUCUCACAAGAUGCAUAAAUUGAUUUGUCUUUUAUUAGCUUGUUUUUAUUAUGAUAUUUAUCACCGAAAAUUAAGCUAAAAAAUACUCGGAUUUUUUUAUCCCGUAAAAUACUUAUCACAAUGACAAUCAAACAAAAUUAAAAUUAGAAUAGUUAAAUCUUCUCAUACUAUUUAAAUUGAAAAAAAAGAAGUUGUUCUUACUCUGUUCUAUAAAAUUUUUUUUUUUUAAAAAACUUUGGUUUGUGCUCAGAGUGUUGUUAUGCCCGAUCCCAUUUAUAUUUGGGUGCUAGGGAAUGCGAGCAUUUAUUAUUGGGUCCGUGUCAAGGUUAUUAAAAUCGUGAUUCAACUCGUAAAAUUAUAUGUUUUUACAAGUUAAUAUAGGCUUUACAUUUUAAAUCGCUCAUAAAAAUCAAAAAUCAGUAAAAUCAGGUUAAAAUCAAGUAAAAUCGUAAAAAUCGAGUGAAAUCGCGAUUUCACCACGAUUGAACGAUUUUACCCGCAGGGAAUAAACAUUCAGUGUUGCUGCCAGGUGUCGCCUUCCUACUGGCUUAACAUAUCAAAUGCAAUUAACUUAAUUCACCGAAUCAGUCUUCUCUCUUCUCAUUCACAAGUCACGUUCUCACAAUCUCACUUCUCAGAACAUCACAGAUUCAAAAUCUCUAAAUUGAAAAUCCCAAAUUUCACAGUGACUCAGUCUCGGUCUUAUGGGCAGAGUUUGAUAAAAAUUUGUCUUGGGCAUGUGGCUUUCACUUCUCAGACUCAGUCUCACUUGGAAUUGGAACUCUCAGUCUUAGAGGCCACCUCAUCUUCUUAUCGGCUACUGUAGGCGGCGUAGGUGUCUUUUGUAAUUGAAUUCAAGUCGAUGCUUUCAACUCUUCUCCACUGGUUCGCGGCGUUCGCCUACUCGUAUGUGCCGUCUAGGGGCUCAUCAGAAGCAAGAACUUCUACCUUGUCAACUAGCUCAAGAUUUGAAGGUAAUUCGUAGUUCGCUAACAUUCACUCACCUGGAAUACUUCCACCUAUCGGCUCAGAAUUCCAUUACGCCCAGUUAACUCACUGCUUUCGCGGAUUCGCUAAGCAACUGAAAGAAAAAAAAAUAAAUGCUCAAAGGUGGCUUGGUAACAUGCUGGCUAAGGUUGGUCUCCCUAAAGCCGAGCGUAGGGUGGCUACUCUACUCCAGUAUUUUCCCUUUCUUUGCGGGCAGGGGUGCUAAUUGGGUCUGUGACGUCUGUCAUCUGUGAAUGAAUGGGUUUGCAGUUUGCUAAUUGUUUAUGAACGGGUCUGUAAAUGGUUUGAGUCUGCAUUUGUUUUGAUAAAAACUGCCACUCAUUUAUUACCGAUUUUGUGGUUGAACUUUGGAUUAAACAAUUUAAUAUUUAUUUUUAAGGCAGCGACUAGCGAGUCAUUUCCAUGUCUUCCCGAAUUGAAGAAGAAUAUAACUGGGUUCUGAUUUUGAAAACAAAGUCUGUGACUGUGAAUGGAUCUGUGAAUUCAAUAUUAGUUGAAUGCAGUAUUAGCUUCUUUUUUUUUUUUUAAUAGCUGGAUGUUUAAUAUUAAAAUUAAUUAUAAUCAUAAAAUAUUUGGAUUGAUUGCAGGGUUGAUUGUGUUUCCGAAUUGAAGUAUGAAUUUUUUUUUAAUAUAUUUUAAAAUUUUUUAUGAUUUUACGAUCUGUUUUUACAAUCCGAGUUUGUAGAUAACUUUCCGUGCCGUAUUAAAAUCACGAUUUUAACAAUCUUGAUCUGCGCAUUAAAUCCGGAUCCAGUUAACUGGGGUGCUGGGCUAACUAAUCCAGCGCUCCAGAUUAAAUUUUUUUGGGUAUGGGUGCAGUUUUAUCUUUCAUGCAUUAUAGCAUCCUUAUUUACUUGAACAUGUACCACAAGUCCAACUUGCCCAACCUAAUAUUUAUUUGGAAUUUUUUUUUGGAUCCCAUGUAGGUUUUUUAUUAUUUUUUUAUUAAUUUAAUAUGUAUUAUUUUAAAUAAAAUAUAAUUUAAAAUAUCAAAAAAAUCAAAUUAUAUUUCUGUCUUUCAUCUCCACAUAAAAUAAGAUUUAUAGGUUAUAAAUACUCCACGGCAUUUCAAGUUCCAAGUUUAUAAUCUCAACAUUCUUAUCACUUUCAAAAUAUAUAUUUUCAGAAUUGACUCAUCGUGGAUGGAACUCGACUCUUGAAGGCAUAACUGCAGGGAAGCCCAUGAUUACAUGGCCUGUAUUUGCUGAGCAAUUCUAUAAUGAAAAGUUGGUGACUGAUGUUUUGAAAACUGGAGUUGGUGUUGGAGUCAAGGAAUGGUUAGAGUGCGUGGAGAUCAUGUUAAGAGUGAAGCUGUAGAGAAGGCAAUCACUCGAAUCAUGGUGGGUGAAGAAGCAGAGGAAAAGAGGAGCAGAGCAAAUAAGCUAGGAGAAAUGGCAAGGAAGGCUGUUGAAGAAGGUGGUUCUUCGUGGUCUGAUUUCAAUGCUUUGAUUGAAGAGUUGAGGUCGUAUCGCCCUUGAAACUUCGACAGGAUUUCGAAAGGAUUGUCACGAACGUCGGACAACGUAUAAUAUACUAAAUUAUGUAUUGAAUUUUUUUGGGUUUUUUUUAAUAUAAAAAUAGCUAGUAAUAUACUAAAUUAUGUGAGCUAAAAACCGUGGACAAAAACUAAUCUAUAAAAAUCAAGAUUCAAGCUUUAACCACGCAAUUAAUUGUUUUUGAUCAAACGAGCAAAACCCAGAAUGUGUUUUCAAUUGAACAAUCCUUAUGUCCAUGAAAUACAACACAUGCCUUUGACUAGAUAUGGGUUAGUUCACAGUUCUUGCACUCACACACACUCUUUUAUGCUUCAAAAUUCACAAGUCUAACAGUGAUAUGAGAACUUCAUAUCCGUGCUCUCUCUUUCUCUUUCUAUUUCACUCUUUACUGAUCUCAACAAAGAAAAAGACAUCAGAUUCAUUGGCUAAACUGAGUGAAAUUAAGGCUUAUCCACAAUUCUACCAAAAGAGCCUAUCCCUACAAGAAUUCCUAACCCAUUUUAGCUCCUAAUACGGAGAAAAAAAUGUUUCUUAUUCGUAACACCUUCUACUUACAAUGAACUAGGAUCAACUCAUAACAUAAACUCAAAGAACCUCAUCAUUCUUUGAAAUCUGACGACUUUAUCUAAUUACCUACGAAGUAAUCUAAAAUUUCUCGUUAAUAAUACAAGAACCACCAAAUCAUUUGUUUGCCUCACAGGGACACAUCUGCGGUUUCUCAAGCACCGUACUUGGUUAAACUUUCCUUGUCAUCAUAGUGUUAGAGAAUAAUAUAACUCAUUUCUCGGGAUCUCACCUAAUAGUUUAAGCUAUUGUGUUGAGAUGGUUUUUUGACAUGGUAUCAGAACCUUGAUGACCAAGUGGUUACGAGUUCGAAUCUCACCAUUCCUAUUUAUUUGAUAAAAAUUAAGCACAAAGUAAUGUGGUUAUGUUCAAGUUUCAAGCCCAAAAGACUUUCAUUUGAGGGGAUGUAUUAGAGAAUAAUAUAAAUCAUUUUUUAGAACCUCACCUAAUAGCUUAAGCUAUUAGGUCGAGAUGGUUUUUUGACACAUAACAGGACCGAGUUGAAGUCAUAGGCUUAUGCUAAUCCGAGUGGACUGAGAUUUGGUAAGCCCGAGAUAGGCCCAAAAGGACUGCAUUUGGAUUUGUGCAGCUUGUAUAUGAACCUUUACAUUAUUCAGACAAACCUUUCAUACAUUCUUAGUUUCUUCCUGGAAAUUCAACUGCCUGUCUCGAAAGAGCACUAUAACCGACCAAAUUUCUCUUGGUUCCAAUAUGAGGAUGACUCGAUGAUGGAACCUUACAACGAAUGGAGUUGAACGAAGCAGGGUUUGAGCAAUACCUACGGUGCAAGGAGAAAGCCGCACACUCCCGCGCUGAUCUCUGACCAGGAAGAUCAGGAAUACAAUUUUUUCUAAUAUCAAGAACGCCACUCCUCUCUAGUUUCGUACACUUUGGCCCUAGUUUUGUAAAAUAAUUACUUGAAAGUGACAAAUUCACCAAUUUCCCCAAUGCGCACACCACCUCUGGCACCUGUCCAUACAAUAAGUUGCUGGCCAAAUUGAACUGUUCAAGCUUAGCCAAGCAUCCCAACGAGCAUGGUAAAGGACCGGUUAAGAAGUUGUUACUAGCAUCAAAAAGGACUAGUUUUCUCAAAAAACCUAGUUCAUAUGGGAGGCAACCUGUAAGUAAGUUGUGCGAGAACAGCACUUCAGUUAAUGUCGCGGAAGCUUUAAGGAUGCUGCGUGGGAUUGGACCGAUAAAUUUGUUGUAAGCCAAGGUGAGGUAAAGCACUGGGGUCGAGCCUAGGUUUUCAGGUAGUCCUUGCAUAAAAUUGUUGUUGUUGAGGAAGAGUGCGUCAAGGCGUUGAGUGAAUACUCGUGGAGGAACUGUCCCAGUAAAGAAAUUGAAUCGGAUAUCUAAAAAUGAUAGGGCAGGGAUUCCAAGAACCUCCAUGGGAAAACUGCCAAAGAAAUUAUUGUUGCUUAUGUCUAGUUCAUAAAGAAAUGGUAGUUUGGUGAUUUUUGGUGAUAUGGUGCCAGAAAAUUUGUUAGAGUUGGCAUGGAAGAGAGCAAGGUCAGGGAGUUGAUCAAUGAAGCCAUCGAGAGUAGGGGCAGACAGCUGGAAUCCAUUGAAAUCAAUGGAAGCAAGGGUAAUGGCAGAGUCAUUAUCAGGUGGACUAGUACAGUAGAAGCCUUUGUAGUUGCAUAUAUCCGCGCCACCCCAAGUUUGAGUGAUGUUGAGGGGAUCAGAGGUGAUAGUGUUCUUGAAGCCUUGGAUUAUUGGAUACACUAAGGCAAGCCUUUGGUCUAAGAAGUUCAAGAUUUCUGGAAUUAAUGGAGGUGAUAUCAAUGGAGACAGGCCUUGAAAGUCUUGGCAACAAGCCAGGCAAGUGAAACAUGGAAGGAAGAGGAUUGAGAUGUGGAAUAUGCUUCUGUUGUUUGAAGAAAUGCUUCCCAUUUGAUACAUGAGGUAGCCAGAAGAGAGUUUUGAAGAAGAUGACGGGGAUUAAGAGUGCUUUCCAGUGUUAAUUUAUACUUAAUAGUUAGUGUGGUUGGUGAGUCUCAUUAUCAAAUUGGAAGGCUUGUUAAUGCUUGUUCUUCCACUUGUCUUUCGGUGGAUUGAAUCCGAGGCAUGUGUUAUGACUAAUCAUUCUCCUCCGAGGUCAAUCUGUAGAUGAUUUUGGAUUUGUUUUAGGAGCAGAACUCGGGCGAGCUCUUCAAUUUUGUGCGCGUUGGGUUGCAGUUCAUUACUCGAAGAAAAUCGUCGUGUCAUUUAAGUUUAGUGAGGCUCUCUUCAACUGCAGGUUGAUAGCCAGAAUCCCAUCACUCUGGUUCCUGGUUUCCAUCCACUGAGGGUUCUGCAGUAAGAGUAUGGAUGGCAUUUUUCCAAAAGCAAUGAUCAGCCCAUUAAGGGGAAAUUAGUGCGCCAUUAACAAGAAGUGGGAUGCUGGCCUUUGAUACCAUGGGUGUCAUCGGGAAAAGCUGGCUGGGAAAUGAAUACCAUGGUUGAGAAAUUAGUGCGCCAUUAAGAAAUGAAUACCAUGUUGUACCGUGUUCCUUUAAUUUUAAUUUUAUUUAAAAUAGGUUUUUUAUAUAUAUAAUUUCAUAUAAUUUUAAUAUGUUAAUGUUAAAAAUAAUCAAUAAAAUUAUUUAAAUACAACCAAAAUCUCUUAUUAGUCUUGUCUAACAAAGUAUUUUUCGUGGUAUGAACUAUGAACAUGUUGAGUCAAUUUAUUUAUUUUUUUGAUUUGUUUUGAUAGAUAGGCCGGAGUGAUAUUUUUUUAAUGGCUAGUUUUCUUAAAGUAUCCUAAGCACUAAGCAUUAAGAAAAAAAAAAAAAAGAGGCAAGCAUGGUUUUGUUUUUACUCUUCAAAAAUAUAUUUUUUUAAAAAAAAAUGUAAUUUUUUUAUUUACUUUAAAUUAAUUUUUUUUUAAUAUUUUCAGAUUAUUUUAAUGCGUUGACAUAAAAAAUAAUUUUAAAAUAUUAAAAAAAUUAUUUUUAAUAAAAAUAUAUUUUAAAAAAUAACUUAUUAUCGAAUACUAGUUUGUUUAUUUUUCAUGGGCUUCACACUGACCUUCCCAUAAAAAAAAUCCCCCGUACGGAAAUCCCAGUUUAUACUUCUUAACUCGUCGCAACCAGCAGACCAACCCAGUUAAGCUAUAUAGUUGCAUUAAGCUAUAUAGUUGCAUUUGCUUUGAAAUCGAGAAGAAAACAGGAAUGAGUUCACCUUAUUGAAAACAGGAAGUAAAGGGGACAAAAUAUCAUUAAGCUAUAUAGUUGCAUUUGCUUUGAAAGCAGAAAUGAGUUCACCUUAUUCAUUAUGAUUCAUACGACAAGCUAUAAGCUGAUCAGGAGAAAUAUGUGUACAUAGAUAGGAGCAGCCAUCAAGCAAAUCAAGAGACUAUCUUGAAGGGAUCCAUUUAAAGCCGCAGCUUAUGCGGUUUAAGGGCAUUAUAUGUUAUAGGUGCAGCAGCCGGAGCCUUAGAUUGUUGAUCAGAUGUCUCCAAUGAACUUGAAUAACCACCCUUCCUGCAAGGAAUAUAGCUGAGCGACCUCUUAUUGGGACAAGUACUCUUUUUAGAAAAGAACUUGCACAAUCAGCUGCUGAUCUCUGACGAGGAAGAUCCAAAAUGCAAUUCAUUCUAACAUCAAGAAUCCUUUUCUUUAUCAAUUUCCUGCAUCAGGUCCGACCUGAGUGAAAUAGUUGUACGAGAGAGACAGGUUUGCUAAUCCAGGCAGGUCGCACACCAUCUCCGGCACCGGCCCGUAAAAUUUAUUCACGGCCAAAUUCAGGAUCUCCAUCUUUUUUAGGCAUGCAAAUGAAUGGGGUAUUGGGCCAGUCAACUUGUUGCUGCCCACAUCAAACACGACAGCCUUGUCCAAUUUGCCAAUCUCGUAUGGCAAGCACCCUUCGAGUUCAUUGUUCAAGAAAAGCACUUCAAGAAGGUUUCGGGCAUUGCCGAUACUUUUUGGAAUGGGACCACUAAAAUUGUUGUUGGCCAAAGUGAGAUAAAGGACAGGUGUGGAACCGAGAUUACAAGGAAGCUGUUGUGAGAAUUUGUUGUUGUUGAUUGAAAAGCACAUCUAGGUCUAAGUUGAAGACUUCAGCUGGAACUGACCCUGAAAAUGAGUUGAACCUGAUGUCUAAAAAGGUUAAGUUGGUGGCUUGAAGAACAGACACAGGGAAUUCACCAGAGUACUUGUUGUUGCUGAGAUCGAGCUCAAAUAAGUAACGGACUCUGGAAGUGUUAAUAUUUCUUUGGCACAGGACCAGUGAAAUUGUUGGAGUUCGCAUGAAAGAUGGAUAAGUCCGGCAACUGAUCGAGGAAACCUGUGAGCUGAAGAUCCCGGCCACCAAAAUGGUAGCCAUUGAAAUCUGCCGCUGCAAGGGCUGUCUUAUUCUGGUCAGGUACUGUUGCACAUGUAAAGCCUGGAUAAUGACAGACAUCAUUUCCCACCCAUUUUUUUGUAAUCUUCAUGGGAUUCCUUAGUGAUUAAUUUUUUGAAACUCUGAAUUGUGUGAUAGGCUCUUUUUGAUGUUUUCGCUCGCAAAAUCUGUACUUGGCGGGGGACAAUGGUGUUCAGGAGGGGGCGGGGGGGACAAAGGGGUUUGGGAGGGGGUGAAGGGGAUGGCGGCCGAGGAGGAGGCGGAGGGGGUUGAGUGGCGGGGGUGGAGGGGGGGGGAUGGCGGUGGAGGCGGCGGGGGUGGAGGGGGGGAGGGGGCGGCAGGGGACAACCGCAAUUUUCAUUCUCAGGAGAAGGGGCAGGAGAAUAUCCACCCCCACCCCCACCCCCACCUAUGAUUAUUUCUAAAGCUUCCCUCUCUGUCCCAACAACCGCAUUGUAAUGCAAGCAUGAAUGAAAAAUGAGAGUGAAAAGUAGAAUUGAAGAACACAAAGAAGCGGUACCCAUCUAUACUGGCUGAAGGGUCUCUGGACUUGAGAGAGUAAAGAGAACAGGGACAUAUAUAUAUUACUAUAAAGAGGGUAGAGGUAGACCAUAACUAAAGGAAGUCAAGAAAAGUUUUGCAAUAGAAAAGUUUUCUUGGGGUGGGACUAUUGGGAUCUCAUUUUCAGACACUUAUUUCUGCAUUACUGUUUUCCACUCCAUCCCUGCGAAUCAAACCUUUCUUUUGGGACAUGGUGGUAGCUAUUCUACAGUAACAUGGUUCGAAGUGUCUUUAUAGUGCGCCAUCCCUCGCGGGACAUGAAUAUCACGGAAAGAGCGGAAAAUAAAAGGAAAUCAUCUGAAUUUCCAAGGCACAUUCACUCCAGUAAGAAAUUCUUGGUUUUAUUUGCUGCUGAGGAUGAAGGUGUAGGGACAUUAAAUUAAACUUUUAAUUCAAUAAUUGGAUCUUGACAUUAGUGGGUACAACAUCUUCUUCAGUUAUUGGACUUCAUCUGUCAUGUCCAGAGUUUUAUCUUGUGACUAUUCUUGAUAAAUUUGACUUUUCUUCACUUGUUUUCGACCAUAGGUUCUUAAGAUACUCGUCGGAAUAUAGAUAGCCUGUCGAAGUGUGCGCUCUAAUGAAAGAUCCUUGAGCUGAAGAUACCAUUUGCACAAGGGUUCAAUGGACAGCCACCACCCGCAGCCACCAACACGUCAAACAUCACAAAACCUGUGAAUUUUAAAAAGUUGCACCAUUGAUGUAACAUAAAUUUAGGAUGUGAAGUUCGAUGGAUCAUCGGUGUGUCUCUCACCCUGCUUCUCAAUUGUUGAGAUUCGUCUCAUUGCAUUUUUAAACUCUUCAAUCAUAGAGCUGAGAACGAAAGAGAGCAUGUUUCAUAAAAGCAACCUUUUUACAUAUUUUAAGUUUGACAUGUUUACCAGGAACAUGCUUGGAAACCAGGUCAUUUUUCUCUGUUUUAUUUCAUAGGGUACAUUAUAUACAAUCUCAAACCACAGCCUAGACAAGGAGAGCAAGAACAAGAAUUUUCCCAGGAAAAAUAAACCCAAAACCUAUUAACCAACUGACAAAUUAUUGUUCUAUUUAUUUGUGCAUCCCGACUUUCCAACCAUCAUCAGAUCACUAAUCAUCAGCCGAAAAUCUGUCUUACCAGACCACAUGGAUUCAAUGCCAUACCAGCUUCAUAUUCUAUUUUUCCCAUAUAUGGCUCAUGGCCACAUGAUCCCGACAGUAGACAUGGCAAGAUUAUUUGCUAGGCGUGGAGUGAAAGCAACCAUUGUUUCCACUCCUCUUAAUGCACCCCUCUGCUCUAAAACUAUUGAAAGAGAUAGACAACUGGGUCUUGAUAUCAGUAUUCACAUUAUAAAAUUCCCUUCUGCAGAAGCUGGGCUGCCAGAAGGAUGUGAGAACCUAAGUUCUAUUCCCUCGCCUGACAUGCUUCCGAAUUUCUUAAAGGCCAUCGGCAUGCUUCAGCAACCACUUGAACAGCUCCUAGAAGAAUGCCAUCCCAGUUGUCUUGUGGCAGACAUGUUGUUUCCAUGGGCUACAGAAGCUGCAAACAAGCUCAGGAUUCCAAGGUUGUUUUUCAAUGGAAAAGGUUUUUUUCCUGUGUGUCUUCGAUUCCCUAAAACGCUAUGAACCUCCCGAAGGAGUAGAUUCAGAUUUCGAACCAUUCGUGGUGCCUGGUUUACCAGAUCAGAUAAAGCUGACAAGAUUACGACUGCCGGCUUUCAUUAAAGAGAGAACUGAGAAUGAACUUACAAAGCUGAUGGAUAAAGUCUCAGAAUCAAUGGUGAGAAGCUAUGGAGUCCUCACGAACAGUUUCCUUGAGCUGGAACCAGCUUAUUCAGAGCACUACAAGAUGGAAAUAAAAAGGAAAACAUGGCACAUCGGGCCGCUGUCCCUUUGCAACAGGGCUAUGAAAGAUAAGGCAGACAGAGGCAACGUGUCCUCCAUUCAUGAACAUGAAUGUAUGAGAUGGCUGGCCAAAAAGAGCCUCAACUCAGUUCUAUAUAUAUGUUUUGGAAGCUUCUUCAACCUUUUCGCUGCUCAGUUACUUGAGUUUGCCAUGGCCCUGGAAGCUUCUGGACAGAAUUUCAUUUGGGUUGUGAGGAGAGAAAGCAAACAAAGCUUGCAGAAAAGGAGGAGUGGUUGCCAGAAGGAUUUGAGAAAAGGAUGGAAGGGAAGGGCUUAAUAGUAUCGGGAUGGGCACCCCAGGUGCUGAUCCUUGAUCAUAAAGCUGUUGGAGGGUUCAUGACUCACUGUGGUUGGAACUCAACAUUGGAGGGAGUGACUGCAGGGGUGCCGAUGGUCACAUGGCCACUUGGUGCGGAACAAUUUUGCAAUAAAAAGCUGAUUACCGAUGUUCUCAAAAUAGGAAUUGGAGUUGGUGCCCAGGAAUGGUCAAGAUAUGAAAAGAAAAUUAUAGUGAGGAAGGAGGACAUAGAGAAGGCAAUUAUUCAGUUGAUGGUUGGUGAAGAAGCUGAGGAAAUAAGAAACAGAGCAAGGGUACUGAAAGAGAUGGCAAGGAGGGCUACGAAAGAGAUGGCAAGGAGGGUACUGAAAGCAAGAAUUGGAAUAUGAUAUGGGAAAAUAAUGCCCGAACCUAGUCUCUGCAGCCAUCCCAAAUCAGCGGAUAAAUCAUUGUUCUAUUUCUAGCCUUUUGUUCAUCCCAAAUUUCCAACCAUCAUCGGACCGCUUAAUCCUCUGCUCUAAAUCUAUACCUGUUCUACCAGGCCACACAGAUUCACAGCCAUAUCAGCUUUUCAUGUCCUAUUUCUCCCAUAUAUGGCUCAUGGCCACAUGAUCCCAACCGUUGACAUGACAAAGAUUAGUUACUAGGAAUGGGGUUAAAGCAACCGUUGUUUCCACUCCCCUUAAUGGACCCCUCUUAUCUAAAACAAUAGAAAGAGACAAGAAACUGGAUCUUGAUAUCAGACCAGAUAAAGAAGACAAGACUGCAAAUGCAACUGCCAGAUUACUUAAAACAGACAACUGAGAAUGGACUUACAAGCUAAAUCAGAUUUCAGAAUCAGAAGUGAGAAGCUAUGGAGUCCUCAUGAAUAGUUUCCAUGAGCUGGAACCAGCUUACUCAGAACACUGCAGGAAGGCAAGGCACAUCAGCCGCUAGCUGUCACUUUGCAACAGGAACAUUGAAGAUAAAGCAGAAAGAGAACAUAUAGCAUCCAUUGGUGAACAUGAAUGUUUGAGAUGACUCGCCUUGAAGAAACCCAACUCAGUUCUAUAUAUUUGUUUUGAAAGCUUGUUUGACUUCCAGCUACUCAAUCGUGUGGGAUUGCCUUAGCUCUUGAAGCUUUUUUUCCAGAAUUUCAUUUGGGUUGUAAGAAAGGGAGAGGUGAGAAAGCAUGAAGACAUGGAGGAGUGGUUGCUGGAAGGGUUUGAGAGAAGGAUGGAUGCGAAAGGAUAAAUGAUAAGGGGAUGGGAACCACAGGUGCUAAUCCUCGACCAUGAAGCUGUUGGAGGAUUCUUGACUCAUUGUUGAUGGAACUCAACGUUAAGAGGGAGUGACUGCAGGGGUGCCAAUGGUCACAUGGCCACUUUAUGUAGAGCAGUUUGAUAAUGAAAAGCUGAUUGCAUAUGUUCUAAGUAGGAAUUGGAGUUGGUGCACCCAGGAAUGGUCAAGAUAUGAAAAGAAAAUUCUAGUGAGGUAGGCUGACAUAGAGAAGGCAAUUAUUCAGCUGAUGGUUGACGAAGAACAAAUAAGAAAUAGAGCAAGGAAGUUGAAAGAGAUGGAAAGGAAGGAAACGGAAGAAGGAGGAUCGUCUUACUCUGAUUUAACUGCAUUGCUAGAUGAAUUAAUGGCCCUUGAGACAAGCAAGCAAGAAUAUGCAGCACAUUAACAUGACUGUCUUGUUAUAGUUUCCUAUUAGAAUGUUCAGAAAAUAAGUAAUGUUGUUAGCAUUUAUUAUUCUGAAAACUAGAAUAGCCAGCAAAAGAAUAAUGACUACCGUAGAAAUACUAAAUGUUGCUCGUCAUUAUUCAGGUUUUCACAGAAAUAAAAGAAAGGGCAUUUUACAUGAAUUUUGCAUCCAUUCACCAGUCACAGAUAUCCGAUGACUGUGCCUAGAAGAAAAUACAUGGUAGUUAGUAGUAAUUACUUUUUAAGAUUUUUUUAUUUAAAAUAUAUUAAAAUAAUAUAUUAUUUAUUUUUCAAACUUAUUUUUUUUACAUAAGCAAAUGAUAUGAAAAUUAUAAAAAAAUUAUUUAUUUAUUUUUGAAAACACUUUUAAAAUGUAAAAAUCUAAUCUUCAUCUAAAAAAAUAUUUUUUUAAAUAAAAAAUAUUUUUUAAAAAACAUAAUAUACUAUAUGUAAUAUUUUGGUUGGAAAAUACAAUAAAGCCCUUGGAGGCUUAAAGAGAGGGUAAAUGAUUGAAGGGUAUUGUGGUAAUUGACCAAUAGUUGAUAAAUAUAUAUAAGAAAAAAAAAGAAAGAAUGAUCUGAUUUUGAGAGAAAGAGAGUUACGGGAGAAGAGAAGAAAAGAGGAAGAAGAAGAAAAGACAGGAGAGAAGGAAAGAAAAGAGAAAAGAAGUAGAGGAAAUAAGUAAAAAGGUAAGAUUUAUGGUUUUAAGUGUAUAAUAUGUUAAAUUUCGGUUUUGAUUAAUUUUGAGAGUUUUGAAGUUUGUAUUUUGAGUUAAUUGAUGAAUUAAUUUGAAGGUUAGGAGUUGAUUAUUGUGGGUAUUUGAUUAAUUAGUUGAUUUUGAGAGAUUGAAUUGAAAGAUAAUGAUUUUGAGUUAUGAUUUUAUUUAAAUGGUGAAAUUAUGUUAGAAAUCAGGGGAUAACAGUAGGUGAUAUGUUGAAAUUCUGGGUUUGAGGUUGAAGAUGACGAAAAUUCAAUUUGGUCCCUCAAUUUGUGAAAAUUGCAAUUUAGUCCCCGAACUUUGGAAAUUUUACAGAUUGGUCCCUGGGGCAUAAAUUGAGGUUCUGAACAGAACUGAGGAUGAUUUAAGGACAAAAUUCCAGUAUAAUUAAUAUUUUCAGUUUGGUCCUCCAAUUUGACAAAAAAUAUAAUUUGACCCUAAAAAUUUGGUAAAGUUCAAGAAUGGUCCUUGGAGCAUAAUGAUAUAUCCUGGACAGAAUUAAGGAUUAAUUAUGGACAGAAUUUCAGUAUGGUUAUAUAUUUACAGUUCGAUCCUCAAAAUUUGGUAAAAUUACGUUUUGGUCCCUAUUUUGGAAAAUUGUCAUUUUAGUCCCUAAACUUGGGAGAUUAAGCCCGGUUUAUUUUAUGCUUUGGGAUCUUUUGUUUGAUUUGUUUUUUAGUAUAUUUCAUAUAUUUAUUGUAGGUUCUCUUAACGAUUCUUAAUCGGAUUUUCGGGUCUUUCGUCCGACAUUCCUUUUAGUUCUAUAUUUUCCGGGUGAGUGGAAUAAUCUUUAAUGUGCAUAUAAUAUAAAUAAAUAUGUAUAUUGAUUAUACAAUGAGUACAACUAGUAAAUUUCUUGAAUAUUUACGUAUGUUGCUUUAUUUUCCGAGUACUCGUUUAUUUUUGAAUUUGCACUCGCAAUCUGUUAAAGUAAAUUCUAUUUGAUAUGAUAUACAUUUCUUUGAUGAUUAUGUGAAUAUCUGUUAUGCCUUGAUAUGGGAUUUGUCAGUACUCCAUGCUAACGGAGAAUAGUUAGCUUGUGUGCACAUAGUAUUCUGUUACCUAGCUGGUGAGAGAGGCAUCAGCCUGUGGUGAUUGAUCAUCCCACAGUGGUCACCGACGGCGGGUUGUCAUGACGUGCAGUGUGGGAUCUAGCGGUGUCUUAGACGGGUGUCAUCUGGUCACCUUCGGGUGUCAUCUGAUCUCUGACAUGUAAUCCACUACGUUAUGAUAAUAUGUUACGUUAUGAUAAUAUGUUUAGUAAGUAUAUGUAUAUGUAUAUCAAGAUAUUAAUAUCUGAAAUGUAUAUUAAAUGUUAUUCCCUCACUGAGUUGGUUGAACUCACCUCUCAUUUUUAAUAUUAUUUCAGGUUCUUAGUUUCUGGGACUUUGUUGAGUGUUUCCGCUUCUUCAGUUCUGGUCGGUAUGCCUUGCUUGUUCGCGAGGCUUUCCUUUCAGUUUUGAUUUGAUGUCUUAGACGCUCCACUGUUACCUUGGAUUAAUUAAAUUUGGAUUUUGACAAUGUAAUGAGUAUUAUGAAUUAUUAUUUUUGUUUUAAUAACUAUCUUUCGGUUUUAUCAGUAUUUGAAUAAUAUAAUAUUUUUGAAUAUUAUAAGCCGCUGCGUAUUUUUGAACAAAUUGUUCUUUUGAUAUGUCCGUUCUGAGGCUUAGCGCAGGUGAGGUGUCCUUUCGACACCUCUCCUACGUUGCCGGUCACGGAUCCGGGAUUCGGGUCGUGACACUAUACUACUAAAUACACUGUAUGAAUAAAUAUCUAUUUUCCAGAUAUAAAAAACCCACUCUAGAAGGAAACAUGAGCCCGGCGCUCUUCCCCAACAUGGCCAGCACAACUUAAUACAUCUCAUAUUAUAUGUGAUUUAUUGAGUGUUUGGUAUACUUUCAACAUGUUUUUAGAAAAAAAUUAAUUUUUCUUCUUUAAAUCAAUCUUUCAAUAUUUUUAAAUGAUUUUAAUAUACUAAAAUAAAAAAUAUAUUUUUAAAAAAAUAAAAUUAAUACAAUUUUUUAGUAAAAAAAAAAAACUUUAAAAAACAACCACUAUCAUAUCCUCAAAAACCCCUUUAAUCUAACUUAUUAUUAAUUGCUAAAUAAGUAAAAGAUCACAACUCUUAUUUUAAUCUCAAAAUAUUGCUUUAUAAGUUUAAUAAUAUCCCGGUCAUCCCUAUAAUUUAUCCUUUUGAUAAUGAAUAAUGUUAAAAAAAAUAAAAAUAAACUCUAAUAUGAACUCUGGUCAUCAAAUAACCAGUUAGAUUUAUAGUGAUUUUUUUAAAAUUUAAUCACCAUGGCAAUUAAAUUUCUAUAAUCUGAAUUAUUAAAUUUAAAACACCACUUGUUGGAUUUUUUUUGGGAUGAAACCAUUUUUUUACAUGUGGUGGAAUAUUUAAUUAAUUUGUUUUUUCAUUUGAGUUACUUUACAGGUCAAGUUGAAUCUCUCCACUUCUCUUCUUAAAUUAAUUUGUAUUUUAUAUUAAUUACAAACAAAUUUAAUUCUCACAAGAUGCAUAAAUUGAUUUGUCUUUUAUUAGCUUGUUUUUAUUAUGAUAUUUAUCACCGAAAAUUAAGCUAAAAAAUACUCGGAUUUUUUUAUCCCGUAAAAUACUUAUCACAAUGACAAUCAAACAAAAUUAAAAUUAGAAUAGUUAAAUCUUCUCAUACUAUUUAAAUUGAAAAAAAAGAAGUUGUUCUUACUCUGUUCUAUAAAAUUUUUUUUUUUAAAAAAACUUUGGUUUGUGCUCAGAGUGUUGUUAUGCCCGAUCCCAUUUAUAUUUGGGUGCUAGGGAAUGCGAGCAUUUAUUAUUGGGUCCGUGUCAAGGUUAUUAAAAUCGUGAUUCAACUCGUAAAAUUAUAUGUUUUUACAAGUUAAUAUAGGCUUUACAUUUUAAAUCGCUCAUAAAAAUCAAAAAUCAGUAAAAUCAGUAAAAUCAGGUUAAAAUCAAGUAAAAUCGUAAAAAUCGAGUGAAAUCGCGAUUUCACCACGAUUGAACGAUUUUACCCGCAGGGAAUAAACAUUCAGUGUUGCUGCCAGGUGUCGCCUUCCUACUGGCUUAACAUAUCAAAUGCAAUUAACUUAAUUCACCGAAUCAGUCUUCUCUCUUCUCAUUCACAAGUCACGUUCUCACAAUCUCACUUCUCAGAACAUCAAAGAUUCAAAAUCUCUAAAUUGAAAAUCCCAAAUUUCACAGUGACUCAGUCUCGGUCUUAUGGGCAGAGUUUGAUAAAAAUUUGUCUUGGGCAUGUGGCUUUCACUUCUCAGACUCAGUCUCACUUGGAAUUGGAACUCUCAGUCUUAGAGGCCACCUCAUCUUCUUAUCGGCUACUGUAGGCGGCGUAGGUGUCUUUUGUAAUUGAAUUCAAGUCGAUGCUUUCAACUCUUCUCCACUGGUUCGCGGCGUUCGCCUACUCGUAUGUGCCGUCUAGGGGCUCAUCAGAAGCAAGAACUUCUACCUUGUCAACUAGUGGAUUUGCUAAGCAACUGAAAGAAAAAAAAAGAAAAGAAAUGCUCAAAGGUGGCUUGGUAACAUGCUGGCUAAGAUUGGUCUCCCUAAAGCCGAGCGUAGGGUGGCUACUCUACUCCAGUAUUUUCCCUUUCUUUGCGGGCAGGGGUGCUAAUUGGGUCUGUGACGUCUGUCAUCUGUGAAUGAAUGGGUUUGCAGUUUGCUAAUUGUUUAUGAACGGGUCUGUAAAUGGUUUGAGUCUGUGCAUUUGUUUUGAUAAAAACUGCCACUCAUUUAUUACCGAUUUUGUGGUUGAACUUUGGAUUAAACAAUUUAAUAUUUAUUUUUAAGGCAGCGACUAGCGAGUCAUUUCCAUGUCUUCCCGAAUUGAAGAAGAAUAUAACUGGGUUCUGAUUUUGAAAACAAAGUCUGUGACUGUGAAUGGAUCUGUGAAUUCAAUAUUAGUUGAAUGCAGUAUUAGCUUCUUUUUUUUUUUUUAAUAGCUGGAUGUUUAAUAUUAAAAUUAAUUAUAAUCAUAAAAUAUUUGGAUUGAUUGCAGGGUUGAUUGAGUUUCCGAAUUGAAGUAUGAAUUUUUUUUAAUAUAUUUUAAAAUUUUUUAUGAUUUUACGAUCUGUUUUUACAAUCCGAUUUGUAGAUAACUUUCCGUGCCGUAUUAAAAUCACGAUUUUAACAAUCUUGAUCUGCGCAUUAAAUCCGGAUCCAGUUAACUGGGGUGCUGGGCUAACUAAUCCAGCGCUCCAGAUUAAAUUUUUUUGGGUAUGGGUGCAGUUUUAUCUUUCAUGCAUUAUAGCAUCCUUAUUUACUUGAACAUGUACCACAAGUCCAACUUGCCCAACCUAAUAUUUAUUUGGAAUUUUUUUUUGGAUCCCAUGUAGGUUUUUUAUUAUUUUUUUAUUAAUUUAAUAUGUAUUAUUUUAAAUAAAAUAUAAUUUAAAAUAUCAAAAAAAUCAAAUUAUAUUUCUGUCUUUCAUCUCCACAUAAAAUAAGAUUUAUAGGUUAUAAAUACUCCACGGCAUUUCAAGUUCCAAGUUUAUAAUCUCAACAUUCUUAUCACUUUCAAAAUAUAUAUUUUCAGAAUUGACUCAUCGUGGAUGGAACUCGACUCUUGAAGGCAUAACUGCAGGGAAGCCCAUGAUUACAUGGCCUGUAUUUGCUGAGCAAUUCUAUAAUGAAAAGUUGGUGACUGAUGUUUUGAAAACUGGAGUUGGUGUUGGAGUCAAGGAAUGGGUUAGAGUGCGUGGAGAUCAUGUUAAGAGUGAAGCUGUAGAGAAGGCAAUCACUCGAAUCAUGGUGGGUGAAGAAGCAGAGGAAAAGAGGAGCAGAGCAAAUAAGCUAGGAGAAAUGGCAAGGAAGGCUGUUGAAGAAGGUGGUUCUUCGUGGUCUGAUUUCAAUGCUUUGAUUGAAGAGUUGAGGUCGUAUCGCCCUUGAAACUUCGACAGGAUUUCGAAAGGAUUGUCACGAACGUCGGACAACGUAUAAUAUACUAAAUUAUGUAUUGAAUUUUUUUGGGUUUUUUUUAAUAUAAAAAUAGCUAGUAAUAUACUAAAUUAUGUGAGCUAAAAACCGUGGACAAAAACUAAUCUAUAAAAAUCAAGAUUCAAGCUUUAACCACGCAAUUAAUUGUUUUUGAUCAAACGAGCAAAACCCAGAAUGUGUUUUCAAUUGAACAAUCCUUAUGUCCAUGAAAUACAACACAUGCCUUUGACUAGAUAUGGGUUAGUUCACAGUUCUUGCACUCACACACACUCUUUUAUGCUUCAAAAUUCACAAGUCUAACAGUGAUAUGAGAACUUCAUAUCCGUGCUCUCUCUUUCUCUUUCUAUUUCUCUUUACUGAUCUCAACAAAGAAAAAGACAUCAGAUUCAUUGGCUAAACUGAGUGAAAUUAAGGCUUAUCCACAAUUCUACCAAAAGAGCCUAUCCCUACAAGAAUUCCUAACCCAUUUUAGCUCCUAAUACGGAGAAAAAAAUGUUUCUUAUUCGUAACACCUUCUACUUACAAUGAACUAGGAUCAACUCAUAACAUAAACUCAAAGAACCUCAUCAUUCUUUGAAAUCUGACGACUUUAUCUAAUUACCUACAAAGUAAUCUAAAAUUUCUCGUUAAUAAUACAAGAACCACCAAAUCAUUUGUUUGCCUCACAGGGACACAUCUGCGGUUUCUCAAGCACCGUACUUGGUUAAACUUUUCUUGUCAUCAUAGUGUUAGAGAAUAAUAUAACUCAUUUCUCGGGAUCUCACCUAAUAGUUUAAGCUAUUGUGUUGAGAUGGUUUUUUGACAUGGUAUCAGAACCUUGAUGACCAAGUGGUUACGAGUUCGAAUCUCACCAUUCCUAUUUAUUUGAUAAAAAUUAAGCACAAAGUAAUGUGGUUAUGUUCAAGUUUCAAGCCCAAAAGACUUUCAUUUGAGGGGAUGUAUUAGAGAAUAAUAUAAAUCAUUUUUUAAAACCUCACCUAAUAGCUUAAGCUAUUAGAUCGAGAUGGUUUUUUGACACAUAACAGGACCGAGUUGAAGUCAUAGGCUUAUGCUAAUCCGAGUGGACUGAGAUUUGGUAAGCCCGAGAUAGGCCCAAAAGGACUGCAUUUGGAUUUGUGCAGCUUGUAUAUGAACCUUUACAUUAUUCAGACAAACCUUUCAUACAUUCUUAGUUUCUUCCUGGAAAUUCAACUGCCUGUCUCAAAAGAGCACUAUAACCGACCAAAUUUCUCUUGGUUCCAAUAUGAGGAUGACUCGAUGAUGGAACCUUACAACGAAUGGAGUUGAACGAAGCAGGGUUUGAGCAAUACCUACGGUGCAAGGAGAAAGCCGCACACUCCCGCGCUGAUCUCUGACCAGGAAGAUCAGGAAUACAAUUUUUUCUAAUAUCAAGAACGCCACUCCUCUCUAGUUUCGUACACUUUGGCCCUAGUUUUGUAAAAUAAUUACUUGAAAGUGACAAAUUCACCAAUUUCCCCAAUGCGCACACCACCUUCGGCACCUGUCCAUACAAUAAGUUGCUGGCCAAAUUGAACUGUUCAAGCUUAGCCAAGCAUCCCAACGAGCAUGGUAAAGGACCGGUUAAGAAGUUGUUACUAGCAUCAAAAAGGACUAGUUUUCUCAAAAAACCUAGUUCAUAUGGGAGGCAACCUGUAAGUAAGUUGUGCGAGAACAGCACUUCAGUUAAUGUCGCGGAAGCUUUAAGGAUGCUGCGUGGGAUUGGACCGAUAAAUUUGUUGUAAGCCAAGGUGAGGUAAAGCACUGGGGUCGAGCCUAGGUUUUCAGGUAGUCCUUGCAUAAAAUUGUUGUUGUUGAGGAAGAGUGCGUCAAGGCGUUGAGUGAAUACUCGUGGAGGAACUGUCCCAGUAAAGAAAUUGAAUCGGAUAUCUAAAAAUGAUAGGGCAGGGAUUCCAAGAACCUCCAUGGGAAAACUGCCAAAGAAAUUAUUGUUGCUUAUGUCUAGUUCAUAAAGAAAUGGUAGUUUGGUGAUUUUUGGUGAUAUGGUGCCAGAAAAUUUGUUAGAGUUGGCAUGGAAGAGAGCAAGGUCAGGGAGUUGAUCAAUGAAGCCAUCGAGAGUAGGGGCAGACAGCUGGAAUCCAUUGAAAUCAAUGGAAGCAAGGGUAAUGGCAGAGUCAUUAUCAGGUGGACUAGUACAGUAGAAGCCUUUGUAGUUGCAUAUAUCCGCGCCACCCCAAGUUUGAGUGAUGUUGAGGGGAUCAGAGGUGAUAGUGUUCUUGAAGCCUUGGAUUAUUGGAUACACUAAGGCAAGCCUUUGGUCUAAGAAGUUCAAGAUUUCUGGAAUUAAUGGAGGUGAUAUCAAUGGAGACAGGCCUUGAAAGUCUUGGCAACAAGCCAGGCAAGUGAAACAUGGAAGGAAGAGGAUUGAGAUGUGGAAUAUGCUUCUGUUGUUUGAAGAAAUGCUUCCCAUUUGAUACAUGAGGUAGCCAGAAGAGAGUUUUGAAGAAGAUGACGGGGAUUAAGAGUGCUUUCCAGUGUUAAUUUAUACUUAAUAGUUAGUGUGGUUGGUGAGUCUCAUUAUCAAAUUGGAAGGCUUGUUAAUGCUUGUUCUUCCACUUGUCUUUCGGUGGAUUGAAUCCGAGGCAUGUGUUAUGACUAAUCAUUCUCCUCCGAGGUCAAUCUGUAGAUGAUUUUGGAUUUGUUUUAGGAGCAGAACUCGGGCGAGCUCUUCAAUUUUGUGCGCGUUGGGUUGCAGUUCAUUACUCGAAGAAAAUCGUCGUGUCAUUUAAGUUUAGUGAGGCUCUCUUCAACUGCAGGUUGAUAGCCAGAAUCCCAUCACUCUGGUUCCUGGUUUCCAUCCACUGAGGGUUCCUGGUUUCCAUCCAAAAUCGUCGUGUCAUUUAAGUGCAGUAAGAGUAUGGAUGUCGUUUCUGUCCAUAGAGGAAAGGAAAGGUGGUGGCAUUUUUCCAAAAGCAAUGAUCAGCCCAUUAAGGAGAAAUUAGUGCGCCAUUAAGAAGAAGUGGGAUGCUGGCCUUUGAUACCAUGGGUGUCAUCGGGAAAAGCUGGCUGGGAAAUGAAUACCAUGGUUGAGAAAUUAGUGCGCCAUUAAGAAAUGAAUACCAUGUUGUACCGUGUUCCUUUAAUUUUAAUUUUAUUUAAAAUAGGUUUUUUUUAUAUAUAAUUUCAUAUAAUUUUAAUAUGUUAAUGUUAAAAAUAAUCAAUAAAAUUAUUUAAAUACAACCAAAAUCUCUUAUUAGUCUUGUCUAACAAAGUAUUUUUCGUGGUAUGAACUAUGAACAUGUUGAGUCAAUUUAUUUAUUUUUUUGAUUUGUUUUGAUAGAUAGGCCGGAGUGAUAUUUUUUUAAUGGCUAGUUUUCUUAAAGUAUCCUAAGCACUAAGCAUUAAGAAAAAAAAAAAAAAAAAGGCAAGCAUGGUUUUGUUUUUACUCUUCAAAAAUAUUUUUUAAAAAAAAAAAUGUAAUUUUUUUAUUUACUUUAAAUUAACUUUUUUUUAAUAUUUUCAGAUUAUUUUAAUGCGUUGAUAUAAAAAAUAAUUUUAAAAUAUUAAAAAAAUUAUUUUUAAUAAAAAUAUAUUUUAAAAAAUAACUUAUUAUCGAAUACUAGUUUGUUUAUUUUUCAUGGGCUUCACACUGACCUUCCCAUAAAAAAAAUCCCCCGUACGGAAAUCCCAGUUUAUACUUCUUAACUCGUCGCAACCAGCAGACCAACCCAGUUAAGCUAUAUAGUUGCAUUAAGCUAUAUAGUUGCAUUUGCUUUGAAAUCGAGAAGAAAACAGGAAUGAGUUCACCUUAUUGAAAACAGGAAGUAAAGGGGACAAAAUAUCAUUAAGCUAUAUAGUUGCAUUUGCUUUGAAAGCAGAAAUGAGUUCACCUUAUUCAUUAUGAUUCAUACGACAAGCUAUAAGCUGAUCAGGAGAAAUAUGUGUACAUAGAUAGGAGCAGCCAUCAAGCAAAUCAAGAGACUAUCUUGAAGGGAUCCAUUUAAAGCCGCAGCUUAUGCGGUUUAAGGGCAUUAUAUGUUAUAGGUGCAGCAGCCGGAGCCUUAGAUUGUUGAUCAGAUGUCUCCAAUGAACUUGAAUAACCACCCUUCCUGCAAGGAAUAUAGCUGAGCGACCUCUUAUUGGGACAAGUACUCUUUUUAGAAAAGAACUUGGCACAAUCAGCUGCUGAUCUCUGACGAGGAAGAUCCAAAAUGCAAUUCAUUCUAACAUCAAGAAUCCUUUUCUUUAUCAAUUUCCUGCAUUCAGGUCCGACCUGAGUGAAAUAGUUGUACGAGAGAGACAGGUUUGCUAAUCCAGGCAGGUCGCACACCAUCUCCGGCACCGGCCCGUAAAAUUUAUUCACGGCCAAAUUCAGGAUCUCCAUCUUUUUUAGGCAUGCAAAUGAAUGGGGUAUUGGGCCAGUCAACUUGUUGCUGCCCACAUCAAACACGACAGCCUUGUCCAAUUUGCCAAUCUCGUAUGGCAAGCACCCUUCGAGUUCAUUGUUCAAGAAAAGCACUUCAAGAAGGUUUCGGGCAUUGCCGAUACUUUUUGGAAUGGGACCACUAAAAUUGUUGUUGGCCAAAGUGAGAUAAAGGACAGGUGUGGAACCGAGAUUACAAGGAAGCUGUUGUGAGAAUUUGUUGUUGUUGAUGAAAAGCACAUCUAGGUCUAAGUUGAAGACUUCAGCUGGAACUGACCCUGAAAAUGAGUUGAACCUGAUGUCUAAAAAGGUUAAGUUGGUGGCUUGAAGAACAGACACAGGGAAUUCACCAGAGUACUUGUUGUUGCUGAGAUCGAGCUCAAAUAAGUAACGGACUCU